UGAAUAUCCUCUGUUUUAGCAACUCCUAUUUAUUAAAUAAUGGGUUCAAAACAAGGAUCCCGCAAAAUUCAACUCCUACUAAAUAUUGUUAGAAGCUGAUGCCGCAUUCCUUUGAUGAAAAAAAAAAAAUCAUAGGAGUUGCUAAAACAGAGGAUAUUCAAGAAAAUCUUGUCAAAACAGACCAAACUAGAGAAAUUACGAAACAUGAGAAAAUAUAUGGAAUAGGUCCACAGUUCCCUUCAAAUUUGUCACCUCAGCACUCGCUACAACCUUCAGAACCAAUAAUCAUCAUCGAAUGAAAAGGAUCUUAAUUUUCAAUAUUUCUCUUUUAAAGCUUUCGUGCAAGGAAUCUCACUUCUGUUGUGAUUGUGGACUGGGUCGAGAAGGCCCCAAGUAGUUUGUCACCAACCCCAUGAUUGCAAACAUGGAGGCCAUGGAAACCUGUUUCAGGUCAUUCUCAAUAUUUCUCAUGUUGGCAAGUGAUUGGGCACAAAAUAUGAU
RNAcentral lists this unclassified non-coding RNA (501 nucleotides) under Hevea brasiliensis (rubber tree). Lineage: Eukaryota; Viridiplantae; Streptophyta; Magnoliopsida; Malpighiales; Euphorbiaceae. The record is from RNAcentral.